This 97-nucleotide microRNA precursor is filed under the name Equus asinus (donkey). RNAcentral describes it as "mir-544 microRNA precursor family". It matches the Rfam family "mir-544 microRNA precursor family". RNAcentral also lists the same sequence under 1 other name. Lineage: Eukaryota; Metazoa; Chordata; Mammalia; Perissodactyla; Equidae. The record is from Rfam by way of RNAcentral.
AUCACCUGGGGAUCUUGUUAAAAUGUAGAUGCUGAUGCAGUAUGUCUGGGGAGGGCCUGAUAUUUUGCAUUUCUAACAAGUUCCCAGGUGAUGCCUA